GGAUGUGAGGGCGACCUGGCUGCAACAUCUGCCACCCCACUGAUCACCAGGGCUGAUUUGGCUGAUCUGACUGGGUAGGUGGGUGUCCCCUUCCUCCCUCACCACUCACUGUGCAUUCCUCCCAAAGCUGCCUGCUCAGUCAAAGAUGACGACUUUUACCGAUAGAAGAGCGCUGUUCUUCAACCAAGGGUGUAGGAGUAGCUGCUCUGCCCUCCCUCCUAGAACCUCCAGACAAGCCCUCCAGAAGCCUUAUAAUGUGGUCUUCUGAUAGUUUUUAUAAUUCAAGCUUCUUAGACCACUUCAUCCUGAGUUUUGUU
Unclassified non-coding RNA from Cercocebus atys (sooty mangabey), 317 nucleotides. Its record names the gene 7SK. It matches the Rfam family "7SK RNA". From Rfam's summary of the family: 7SK was discovered as an abundant small nuclear RNA in the mid-70s but a possible function has only recently been suggested. Two independent studies have found that 7SK RNA binds the CDK9/cyclin T complex (known as elongation factor P-TEFb). The record is from Ensembl. NCBI's taxonomy places the organism in Eukaryota, Metazoa, Chordata, Mammalia, Primates, Cercopithecidae.